AGCAGCCGCGGUAAUUCCAGCUCCAAUAGCGUAUAUUAAAGUUGUUGCAGUUAAAAAGCUCGUAGUUGAAUUUCGGGGUCAGUAGGUCGGUCGUGCCACUGGUAUGAACUGGUUUUACUGAUUCCUCCCUCUUGAAGAACUGUAAUGCCAUUAAUUUGGUGUUGCAGGGAAUCAGGACUGUUACUUUGAAAAAUUAGAGUGUUUAAAGCAGGCUUUAGCUUGAAUACAUUAGCAUGGAAUAAUGAAAUAGGACGUUUGAUCCUAUUUUGUUGGUUUCUAGGAUUGACGUAAUGAUUAAUAGGGAUAGUUGGGGGCAUUAGUAUUCAAUUGUCAGAGGUGAAAUUCUUGGAUUUAUUGAAGACUAACUACUGCGAAAGCAUUUUUGCCAAGGAUGUUUUCAUUAAUCAAGAACGAAAGUUAGGGGAUCGAAGACGAUCAGAUACCGUCGUAGUCUUAACCAUAAACUAUGCCGAACUAGGGAUCGGAUGAUGUUAAUUUUUAAUGACUCAUUCGGC
RNAcentral lists this ribosomal RNA (515 nucleotides) under uncultured Glomus. Its description in RNAcentral is "SSU rRNA". It matches the Rfam family "Eukaryotic small subunit ribosomal RNA", at positions 569 to 1084 of the family's 1831-position model. The record is from RNAcentral. Lineage: Eukaryota; Fungi; Glomeromycota; Glomeromycetes; Glomerales; Glomeraceae.